UGAGUACGAGCUGCUACGGCAGCGAAGUGGGUGAUGUCAAGCUUCCAAGAAAAGCCCUAUACCCGUUAAGGCAUGACGGCCUGUACCCGAAACCGACACAGGUGGGGUGGUAGAGAAUACCGAGGGGCGCGAGAUAACUCUCUCUAAGGAACUCGGCAAAAUGGCCCCGUAACUUCGGGAGAAGGGGUGCCACCGCAAGGUGGUCGCAGUGAAGAGGCCCAGGCGACUGUUUACCAAAAACACAGGUCUCCGCUAAGUCGCAAGACGAUGUAUGGGGGCUGACGCCUGCCCAGUGCCGGAAGGUUAAGGAAGCUGGUCAGCGCAAGCGAAGCUAGCGACUGAAGCCCCGGUGAACGGCGGCCGUAACUAUAACGGUCCUAAGGAAGCGAAAUUCCUUGUCGGGUAAGUUCCGACCCGCACGAAAGGCGUAACGAUCUGGGCGCUGUCUCGGAGAGAGGCUCGGCGAAAUAGAAUUGUCUGUGAAGAUGCGGACUACGUGCACACGGACAGAAAGACCCUAUGAAGCUUUACUGUAGCUUGGUACUGUGCCCGGGCUCUGAAUGCGCAGGAUAGGUGGGAGGCUUUGAUCCAUUGCUUGUGGGUGAUGGUGAGCCAACGGUGAGAUACCACUCUUUCAGAGCUAGGGUUCUAACCCUCACCCGUUAUCCGGGGAGGGGACAGUAUCAGGUGGGCAGUUUGACUGGGGCGGUCGCCUCCUAAAAGGUAACGGAGGCGCGCAAAGGUUUGCUCAGGCUGGUUGGAAAUCAGCCGACGAGUGUAAAAGCAGAAGCAAGCUUGACUGUGAGACCAACAAGUCGAACAGGGACGAAAGUCGGCUUUAGUGAUCCGACGGUUCUGAGUGGAAGGGCCGUCGCUCAACGGAUAAAAGUUACUCUAAGGAUAACAGGCUGAUCUCCCCCAAGAGUUCACAUCGACGGGGAGGUUUGGCACCUCGAUGUCGGCUCAUCGCAACCUGGGGCUGAAGUCGGUCCCAAGGGUUGGGCUGUUCGCCCAUUAAAGCGGUACGCGAGCUGGGUUCAGAACGUCGUGAGACAGUUCGGUCCAUAUCCGGUGCAUGCGUAAGAACAUUGAGAGGAGUUCUCCCUAGUACGAGAGGACCGGGAGGAACGCACCUCUGGUGUACCAGUUAUCGUGCCAACGGUAAACGCUGGGUAGCCAUGUGCGGAGAGGAUAACCGCUGAAAGCAUCUAAGUGGGAAGCCCACCUCAAGAUGAGUGUUCUCAUGGCUUAAGCCAGUGAGGUCACGGGAAGAACACCCGUUGAUAGGCUCUACGUGGAAGCGCAGCAAUGUGUGAAGCGGAGGAGUACUAAUAGACC
This 1338-nucleotide ribosomal RNA is filed under the name metagenome. RNAcentral describes it as "bacterial LSU rRNA". It matches the Rfam family "Bacterial large subunit ribosomal RNA", at positions 1564 to 2910 of the family's 2925-position model. The record is from RNAcentral.